UUUGGAAUCUUGCGCAAUGGGCGAAAGCCUGACGCAGCAACGCCGUGUGUGCGAUGAAGGCCCUCGGGUCGUAAAGCACUGUCAACAGGGAAGAUGGGUUCAUGCUCUCAUAGCGUAUGGAUUUGACGGUACCUGUGGAGGAAGCACCGGCUAACUCUGUGCCAGCAGCCGCGGUAAGACAGAGGGUGCAAGCGUUGUUCGGAAUUAUUGGGCGUAAAGCGCGCGUAGGCGGCGAGUUAAGUCGGAUGCGAAAGCCCGGGGCUCAACCUCGGAAGUGCAUCCGAAACUGGCUUGCUUGAAUCUUGGAGGGGGCAGUGGAAUUCCCGGUGUAGAGGUGAAAUUCGUAGAUAUCGGGAGGAACACCAGUGGCGAAGGCGACUGCCUGGACAAUGAUUGACGCUGAGGUGCGAAAGCGUGGGUAGCAAACAGGAUUAGAUAC
RNAcentral lists this ribosomal RNA (439 nucleotides) under uncultured prokaryote. RNAcentral's name for it is "bacterial SSU rRNA". It matches the Rfam family "Bacterial small subunit ribosomal RNA", at positions 355 to 785 of the family's 1533-position model. The record is from RNAcentral.